Molecule: ribosomal RNA, 482 nt
Filed under: uncultured bacterium
Lineage: Bacteria
Description: partial 16S ribosomal RNA
Rfam family: Bacterial small subunit ribosomal RNA
Source: RNAcentral
AUUGAACGCUGGCGGCAUGCCUUACACAUGCAAGUCGAACGGUAACGGGUCUUCGGAUGCUGACGAGUGGCGCACGGGUGAGUAAUACAUCGGAACGUGCCCGAUCGUGGGGGAUAACGAGGCGAAAGCUUUGCUAAUACCGCAUACGAUCUACGGAUGAAAGCGGGGGAUCUUCGGACCUCGCGCGGACGGAGCGGCCGAUGGCAGAUUAGGUAGUUGGUGGGAUAAAAGCUUACCAAGCCGACGAUCUGUAGCUGGUCUGAGAGGAUGAUCAGCCACACUGGGACUGAGACACGGCCCAGACUCCUACGGGAGGCAGCAGUGGGGAAUUUUGGACAAUGGGCGAAAGCCUGAUCCAGCCAUGCCGCGUGCAGGAUGAAGGCCUUCGGGUUGUAAACUGCUUUCGUACGGAACGAAAAGCCUCUUUCUAAUAAAGAGAGGUCAUGACGGUACCGUAAGAAUAAGCACCGGCUAACUACGUG